UACGACUACAUAUCAGGCAUAUCAAUAAGCGGAGGAAAAGAAACUAACAAGGAUUCCCCUUAGUAACGGCGAGUGAAGCGGGAAGAGCUCAAAUUUGAAAUCUUCAAGGUUUUACCUUGACGAAUUGUAGUUUAAAGAAGUGUUUUCUGUUGGAAUUUUCGGUAAAAGUUCUUUGGGAAAUAGACAUCAAUAGAGGGUGAGAAUCCCGUAUUUGACCAUUAUUUUCCAGCUUUGUGAUACACUUUCAAAGAGUCGGAUUGUUUGGGAAUGCAGUCCAAAAUGGGUGGUAAAUUUCAUCUAAAGCUAAAUAUUGGCGAGAGACCGAUAGCGAACAAGUACCGUGAGGGAAAGAUGAAAAGAACUUUGAAAAGAGAGUUAAACAGUACGUGAAAUUGUCAAAAGGGAAGCGUUUGACACCAGUGUUGUUUUCUCGAAAAUCAAUUAAAAAUAGAUUUGAUUUUGUGUUGUAUUGACCUUAAAAGCUUUCUUCACUUUUUUCAUGUUUAUUUUUAAUGCAGCUUUUCGUUUAACAAGUCAACAUCAGUUUCUUUUGUUGUAAAAAGGUCAUUGGAAGGUGGCUUUCUUUUCGGAGAAAGUGUUUAUAGCCUUUGACUCCUGCAAUCGGAGAGACUGAGGUCUGCAGCGUAGAUCCUUCGGGAUUAGAUUACAGUUAGAUGCUAAGUUAUAGCUUUUUCAUAGACAACUUGUUGACUAUGAUUUAAUCAUUGUAGCUUACUCGCUUAUGGCUAUUUUACCUACGCUUAGGAUGUUGACGCGCGUGUGUGCGUG
This 789-nucleotide ribosomal RNA is filed under the name uncultured Neocallimastigales. RNAcentral describes it as "partial large subunit ribosomal RNA". It matches the Rfam family "Eukaryotic large subunit ribosomal RNA", at positions 24 to 639 of the family's 3401-position model. Lineage: Eukaryota; Fungi; Neocallimastigomycota; Neocallimastigomycetes; Neocallimastigales. The record is from RNAcentral.